Molecule: ribosomal RNA, 460 nt
Filed under: uncultured bacterium
Lineage: Bacteria
Description: partial 16S ribosomal RNA
Rfam family: Bacterial small subunit ribosomal RNA
Source: RNAcentral
CCUACGGGAGGCUGCAGUGAGGAAUAUUGGUCAAUGGGCGCUAGCCUGAACCAGCCAAGUAGCGUGAAGGAUGACUGCCCUAUGGGUUGUAAACUUCUUUUAUAUGGGAAUAAAGCGCAUUAUGUAUACUGCUUUGCAUGUACCUUAUGAAUAAGGACCGGCUAAUUCCGUGCCAGCAGCCGCGGUAAUACGGAGGGUCCGGGCGUUAUCCGGAUUUAUUGGGUUUAAAGGGAGCGUAGGCGGCUUGUUAAGUGAGCUGUGAAAGUUUGCGGCUCAACCCUAACAUUGCAGUUGAUACUGGCAUGCUUGAGUCCGCUGGAGGCAGGCGGAAUGCGUGGUGUAGCGGUGAAAUGCUUAGAUAUCACGAAGAACCCCGAUUGCGAAGGCAGCUUGCUGGAGUGGAACUGACGCUGAUGCUCGAAAGUGCGGGUAUCGAACAGGAUUAGAUACCCGAGUAGUC